Molecule: ribosomal RNA, 250 nt
Filed under: Pelobates cultripes (western spadefoot toad)
Lineage: Eukaryota; Metazoa; Chordata; Amphibia; Anura; Pelobatidae
Description: SSU_rRNA_microsporidia
Rfam family: Eukaryotic small subunit ribosomal RNA
Source: RNAcentral
ACAUUAUAGUUGUGCAGACACUUUGUUGACUCUAGAGAACCUCGGGCCAAUCGCACGUCCCCGUAACGGCGACUUUGCAUUCGGAUGUCAUCCAUAUCAACUUUCGAUGCCAGUUUCUGUGCCUACCAUGGUGACCAUGGGUAACGGGGAAUCAGGGUUGGAUUACGGAGAGGGAAUCUGAGAAAUGGCUACCACAUGCAAGGAAGGCAGCAGGCGGGCAAAUGACCCACUCCCGACGCGGGAAGGUAGU